GACGAACGCUGGCGGCGUGCCUAAUACAUGCAAGUCGAGCGGACGAAUCGAAAGCUUGCUUUUGAUUCGUUAGCGGCGGACGGGUGAGUAACACGUGGGCAACCUGCCCUGUAGACGGGGAUAACACCGAGAAAUCGGUGCUAAUACCGGAUAACACGAAAUGUCGCAUGACGUUUCGUUGAAAGACGGCGCAAGCUGUCGCUACAGGAUGAGCCCGCGGCGCAUUAGCUAGUUGGUGAGGUAACGGCUCACCAAGGCGACGAUGCGUAGCCGACCUGAGAGGGUGAUCGGCCACACUGGGACUGAGACACGGCCCAGACUCCUACGGGAGGCAGCAGUAAGGAAUCUUCCGCAAUGGACGAAAGUCUGACGGAGCAACGCCGCGUGAGCGAAGAAGGCCUUCGGGUCGUAAAGCUCUGUUGUUAGGGAAGAACAAGUAACGCAGUAACUGGCGUUACCGUGACGGUACCUAACGAGAAAGCCACGGCUAACUACGUG
Molecule: ribosomal RNA, 498 nt
Filed under: uncultured bacterium
Lineage: Bacteria
Description: partial 16S ribosomal RNA
Rfam family: Bacterial small subunit ribosomal RNA
Source: RNAcentral